RNAcentral lists this ribosomal RNA (492 nucleotides) under uncultured bacterium. RNAcentral's name for it is "partial 16S ribosomal RNA". It matches the Rfam family "Bacterial small subunit ribosomal RNA", at positions 29 to 507 of the family's 1533-position model. The record is from RNAcentral.
AUUGAACGCUGGCGGCAUGCUUUACACAUGCAAGUCGAACGGUAACAGGCCUUCGGGUGCUGACGAGUGGCGAACGGGAGAGUAAUGCAUCGGAACGUACCCAGAGGUGGGGGAUAACGCAGCGAAAGCUGUGCUAAUACCGCAUGUGAUCUGAGGAUGAAAGCGGGGGACCGAGCAGCAAUGUUUGGCCUCGCGCCUUUGGAGCGGCCGAUGUCGGAUUAGCUAGUUGGUGGGGUAAAGGCCUACCAAGGCGACGAUCCGUAGCUGGUCUGAGAGGACGACCAGCCACACUGGGACUGAGACACGGCCCAGACGCCUACGGGAGGCAGCAGUGGGGAAUGUUGGACAAUGGGCGCAAGCCUGAUCCAGCAAUGCCGCGUGCGGGAAGAAGGCCUUCGGGUUGUAAAGCGCUUUUGGCAGGAACGAAACGGUGUCCGCUAAUACCGGGCGCUAAUGACGGUACCUGCAGAAUAAGCACCGGCUAACUACGUG